RNAcentral lists this ribosomal RNA (493 nucleotides) under uncultured bacterium. Its description in RNAcentral is "bacterial SSU rRNA". The stretch from base 22 to 453 matches the Rfam family "Bacterial small subunit ribosomal RNA", at positions 913 to 1385 of the family's 1533-position model. The record is from RNAcentral.
ACUAGUAACGGCCGCCAGUGUGCUGGAAUUCGCCCUUAGCGGAGCGUGUGGUUUAAUUCGACGCGACGCGAAGAACCUUACCAGGGCUUGACAUGACCACCGAUACUCUAGAGAUAGGGUAGCCCUUCGGGGGGUGGCCACAGGUGUUGCAUGGCUGUCGUCAGCUCGUGCCGUGAGGUGUUGGGUUAAGUCCCGCAACGAGCGCAACCCUCGUCGCUAGUUAGGCUGUCUAGCGAGACUGCCGGAAGCAAACCGGAGGAAGGCGGGGAUGACGUCAAGUCAGCAUGGCCCUUACGUCCUGGGCUACACACAGGCUACAAUGGCCGGUACAACGGGUAGCAAGAACGCGAGUUGGAGCUAAUCCCAGCAAAGCCGGUCUCAGUUCAGAUUGCAGGCUGCAACUCGCCUGCAUGAAGGAGGAGUUGCUAGUAACCGCGAAGGGCGAAUUCUGCAGAUAUCCAUCACACUGGCGGCCGCUCGAGCAUGCAUCUAA